RNAcentral lists this transfer RNA (72 nucleotides) under Heterocephalus glaber (naked mole-rat). It matches the Rfam family "tRNA". Rfam says of the family: Transfer RNA (tRNA) molecules are approximately 80 nucleotides in length. Their secondary structure includes four short double-helical elements and three loops (D, anti-codon, and T loops). Further hydrogen bonds mediate the characteristic L-shaped molecular structure. tRNAs have two regions of fundamental functional importance: the anti-codon, which is responsible for specific mRNA codon recognition, and the 3' end, to which the tRNAs corresponding amino acid is attached (by aminoacyl-tRNA synthetases). tRNAs cope with the degeneracy of the genetic code in two manners: having more than one tRNA (with a specific anti-codon) for a particular amino acid; and 'wobble' base-pairing, i.e. permitting non-standard base-pairing at the 3rd anti-codon position. The record is from Rfam by way of RNAcentral. Lineage: Eukaryota; Metazoa; Chordata; Mammalia; Rodentia; Bathyergidae.
GGAGAUGUAGCUCAGCAGCACAGUGCUUACUUGGUAAGCAGGAGGCUCUGUGUUCGAUUCCCAGUACCCCCC